CACCAAGCCUUCGAUGGAUAGGGGUUCUGAGAGGAAGGUCCCCCACAUUGGAACUGAGACACGGUCCAAACUCCUACGGGAGGCAGCAGUGAGGAAUAUUGGUCAAUGGGCGCUAGCCUGAACCAGCCAAGUAGCGUGAAGGAUGAAGGCUCUAUGGGUCGUAAACUUCUUUUAUAUAAGAAUAAAGUGCAGUAUGUAUACUGUUUUGUAUGUAUUAUAUGAAUAAGGAUCGGCUAACUCCGUGCCAGCAGCCGCGGUAAUACGGAGGAUCCGAGCGUUAUCCGGAUUUAUUGGGUUUAAAGGGAGCGUAGGUGGACUGGUAAGUCAGUUGUGAAAGUUUGCGGCUCAACCGUAAAAUUGCAGUUGAUACUGUCAGUCUUGAGUACAGUAGAGGUGGGCGGAAUUCGUGGUGUAGCGGUGAAAUGCUUAGAUAUCACGAAGAACUCCGAUUGCGAAGGCAGCUCACUGGACUGCAACUGACACUGAUGCUCGAAAGUGUGGGUAUCAAACAGGAUUAGAUACCCUGGUAGUCCACACAGUAAACGAUGAAUACUCGCUGUUUGCGAUAUACAGUAAGCGGCCAAGCGAAAGCAUUAAGUAUUCCACCUGGGGAGUACGCCGGCAACGGUGAAACUCAAAGGAAUUGACGGGGGCCCGCACAAGCGGAGGAACAUGUGGUUUAAUUCGAUGAUACGCGAGGAACCUUACCCGGGCUUAAAUUGCAGUGGAAUGAUGUGGAAACAUGUCAGUGAGCAAUCACCGCUGUGAAGGUGCUGCAUGGUUGUCGUCAGCUCGUGCCGUGAGGUGUCGGCUUAAGUGCCAUAACGAGCGCAACCCUUAUCUUCAGUUACUAACAGGUCAUGCUGAGGACUCUGGAGAGACUGCCGUCGUAAGAUGUGAGGAAGGUGGGGAUGACGUCAAAUCAGCACGGCCCUUACGUCCGGGGCUACACACGUGUUACAAUGGGGGGUACAGAAGGCAGCUAGCGGGUGACCGUAUGCUAAUCCCAAAAUCCUCUCUCAGUUCGGAUCGAAGUCUGCAACCCGACUUCGUGAAGCUGGAUUCGCUAGUAAUCGCGCAUCAGCCACGGCGCGGUGAAUACGU
This 1104-nucleotide ribosomal RNA is filed under the name Bacteroides fragilis. RNAcentral's name for it is "bacterial SSU rRNA". It matches the Rfam family "Bacterial small subunit ribosomal RNA", at positions 266 to 1371 of the family's 1533-position model. The record is from RNAcentral. Lineage: Bacteria; Pseudomonadati; Bacteroidota; Bacteroidia; Bacteroidales; Bacteroidaceae.